CUUUGAAUUUCCUCUCUGCUGGGAAUCAAUUUUUGAUGAGAUUUGUUCAGAAUGUUGAUGCCUCUGUUGUGAAAAGCAGAACAAAACCUGCACAGACAAAGCAGCAGAAGAGGGACAGCGAGCGCUUGGAGGAUGCAUCUAUGGAAAACCUGUGCAAACUAGCUGAGGAAUGUGUCUGCCUAGAAGCCUCUGUGACUGCUUGUGCCGUGAGACCCAGACUCUUCUAAGAGACCCUUAGAUUGGCUUUAUGACUUUUCCAGCUUAAAAGUCUGCAGCUUUCUCAGUAUCAGUUUUUAGUGUGUUUUAGUUUAUUUUUAAAACGUCUUCUUAUAAAACAGUAAGUAUCUAUUUAGAAAUUAGAAGAGAAAGGAGGAAAUAAAAAUGAAACAUUAUACUUCCAUCACGCUGCUGUUAACCCCUCCGAGUGUGUACUCCGGGCCUAUUUCUUCUUCUUUCUUUCUCUGUAUUUCCCAAUAGCGUUCUCUCUCUUUCUCUCUUUUACUAAAUUGAGGUUAUAGUAUAAUAAAGCUUAUUUUAACAUAGUAAUUGGUAUAGUAUGUUAUAUGUAUUAUGUAAUUACAUGAAAUUACUAUAUUUGAUAAUUCUUGUAAUACAUAAUUACAUUAUCAUAAUAUGAGGUAUAAUAUAUAAUAAGAUAAUGACAUGUGUAAUAUAAUAAUGUUUAUUAUAUACAUAAUGUUUUCUCAGUUAACUGUCUCCAUCUUUCCAUGAAAUUACAUUUUUCUCUUAUCCCAAGCACCAUCCAUCUCAAACUUUCCCAGUUGUCCCAACAUUUUCGUUACAAUGAGUGUGUCCUGAGAGGGCCCCAUCCAGAACCAUGAACGGCAUCUGGCCCUUCUCUCUUUAAAGACCCAUUAGUCUGACGCAGUCCUCAUUUCUUUUCAAACUGGAAUUCACUUCUGAAGUUCUGUUUGGGAUACAUGAUAAACGCCCACGGUUAUUGGGGGUGCAGCGAAGGUGACGGGAGCUUCCUAGGGCAUCAGACCAGGAGGCACGUAAUGGCUGGAGCUAAGAAUGCCUUGAGCUAGAUUAAGGUGAGGCCUGUCUGAUGUGUCCCUUGUGCAACUGGGCUUUGUCGAAGUAUAAUUUUCCAAAAGUGAAGGCACGACUCUCUCCAACACAAAGGGAGAGUGUGGCAGGGGGUUUUAUCCCACUCGCUGGCGAGGCAACAAGGACACGCUCACCUUGGCUCAGAGGAUUCAAGGAAAGAGACGUCAUUAAAGUCACUGGAAGAAAUAGGUUACAGGGAGAUGCUGAUUCGCUACAAGACAGGUCAGGGGCUUACGGGACAAUGAAACCGACAGCAUCAUUGGGUCUUUCUACCAGACAGCCAUCGUCAGCAUCUCUUCCAGGUAAGAUUCAUUUACACCGAAUCCAUUUUCCGCAGCUUAGCAUCUGCCCCGCAGAGCCGUGAGACACCUGAUCAAUAGCGAAUCGUGAGUUGGCGCGGACACACACCCCUGGGAAUUAGAUCGCCCGCGGAGGGCGUGGACGCGAGGCUCGGCCUGGCGGAGCUGGGCUGCCACCAAGUUCGGGUUUUUGUCCUUGACGUCCCUCCUCAGCCCCUGUUGGGCCAGAGGGUAGCUUGUGUGCUGUGACCUUGGCACUCGCCAGAUUGCUGCUUCCCUAGGUGAUAAACGUACUGGUUUUAUCAACACUGGAUGAUCUUUGCCUGAACCCACCGUUUCAGCAGCAUCUCGAGAAGCCGUCUCCUGGUCCCGUGUUCCCUUUCACAGCAUCAGCCCACGCGCCUCAUCAAGUGUGGUUGUUUGUGACCGGAUCAAAUAGAAGAAUCGGAGCCCAGUGCCAGGAAGAACGGGCCAUUAGUCAUGAUUUAUCAGGGGAGAGCUCCCCCAUCAGAGCCCAUGGAAAGAGGGUUCCUCUGCCUAAAAAGGGGAUUUGCUUAGUGUUCCCUUUGACCGGAGUGGGGGGACCCUUGGAAGCGUCCAUCUUUAUCUUGGGGUUUCGGUUUGCAUUCCCAGUGCCCCGGAGACCUUAGGAUCCAGGUGCUGGCUGGUGACACCAACCCUCUCUCAGGGCUGCCUAAGCUGCGCCGCCCGCACUGGUCUCUGUGUCCUUUGUCCUGACCUCUGCACACGCUUAAAAGGAUGUGACACGUUUUAUUCAAAAUGUCUUGGUGUAAAUAAGGAGUAUGUUCAGCAUAUUUUACCCACAACAUGGUUGGAAAUGAACGGUACUGCGCAGAUUUUUCAGAUACCUUUCUGUCUAAAGUUUAACGGGUAAAGGGCCUUUCCAGUAAAUAGCUUUGUGGCCGAAUGACCUACAUUCUCUCAUCCUCCCGGAAAGUUGAAGGCCUGUCACACAAUAUUGUCAUGGGGGGCAUUCUAUAAUUGUCAUUAUGUAGAGGUGCAGGAGAGACUAUGUGGUCGCCCUCUGACUACAGCAAGAGUUUACUGAGUUUUCCCUCUUCGGUAGGUACCACGUUGAAACUUACAUCCGUUAUCUUCCAUGCCCCCCCAACCCUGAUAAGGUAGGUGUUGCUAUUCUCACUGGGUAAAAGGAGAACACGAGGCAGACAAGUUAAUGAGCUUUCCCGGGACUGCUCAUAUAUUCUAAACGCCAGAGCUGGGCUGCUAGCCGGGUCUGGGGCUAAGACUCACAUCUAAGUAUGACUGUCCUUGGGCUUUGAGCCACGUUGUACUGAACACACAUAUAACACUUGCUACACAACAGGCUCUCUGCUUUCUCUAUGGGAGCCGCACAAAGCCCCUGGGAUGGAUGGACGGCUCCUGUUCCGCAGAUGAGGAAGCUGAGCUCAGAGGGUUCCCUCGCUGACCCGUGGCCAGGUAGCUAACAGACCGCUCUUCCACCAUCCAGUGUGCCAAGACGCCUUUUGACUGAAAAGUGGACCCACGGGACGUGCAGGCAAGACUGCUCUGGGCUCUCACUUGGGUGCUGCGGCACCACCUUCCUACCCGAGACUCAGAAUCCAGGUGCAGGAAAGAAUCCCGGGAAACGAGGUCAACCAGAUGUGGAGCUGCUGGCCGGUCUGCGAAGCGAGUUGGGUCUGUCCCGGUCAGGAGGGGUUCAUGACACAAAACCUUGUCGGUGUGCAGAGGGAAAGGGGGACGAAUCCACGCUCCGAGAGACACUUCCCUCCCCACACCGCGCAGCCCAGCCUGUGGGGGCAGCACCUUCCUGCUUAUCUGAAAGCGGCAGGCUUGACCUUUCUUCGGGGAAUUUAUACAACGCCGACUCAUCCAGGAGACCCCAAACUGCGAAGACAUUUAGAACCUGUCUCUCUCUCCCCAGGAGCCUGAUGCGGAGCUUUGGCUUCAGAAGAGCUGGUGUGUACAAAGGAGAUGCUUCUUCUGCCUCUUAAAGGUCCCUCUGUGUGUUUACCUCUUUGACUCAGUGGAGCCUUUCUGUAGACAAGGCAUCUGGAGGAAGGAUGGGAGAAGCAGAAGGAAGCCUUGCAGGAGAGAGCGAAGGACCCAGGCGUGUGGUCUGCAAUCCCCGAGAUGGUUGACAGGUGCAAGCACCAGGCUCCUCCUGCAGCUGCAUUUCCAGGCUGACCAGCAGGAGAAAAAGGACUUUCACCUUGAAAACCCCAGGUGGAUCUAUUCUGUAACAGAACGUCUAGCAACUCGGUGCAAGUGGUUAAAGACUGCUUCUUUCCAGCGUUCAUUCUAAGGGGCUGCACCUCGGGUGCUCGGGCCGUUUCCCUUUUGUUGGUAGGAGCCAUGGACCAAGUUCAGGUGUUAAUCCUCUUGAGAAAAAUGAUUUUGUUUGGGAAGGUAAAGUAAGAAGCACGCACCGUGCAUGAAUCUGAGCAGUCAGGGCGCUCGCGUGGCCGUCGCAGCGUCAGUCAAUACGAAGUGUUUGCUGAGUAUCAUCAGCAAGACAGGAAAAGGCAGAUUCCUAAAAGAUCUUGAAGACUAGUUUUUAGAGCAGUUUAAGGCUUACAGCAAAGUUGGUAGGCAAGUUCAGUGAUUUCCUUUAACGGCCCCCACCCCUCGCCCCCCCAGAAGGCACAGCCUCCCCCCUCAUCUAUGUUCCCAGCAGAGGGUACAUUUGUGACAUUCACUGAAGCGGUGUUGACUGGAUCAUAGUCCCCGAAGCCCACAGCUUACCUUGGGGUCCUCUCUUGGUGUCGCGCCUUCUACGGGUUUGGGCGAGUGUAUGAUGAUAUUUAUCCAUCAUCACGUUAUCAUACAGAAUAUCUCCACCGCUCUAAAAAUCCUCCAUACUCUGCCCGUUCAUCUCUCUCGUCUGACCCAGGCAACCCCUGAUCUCCACUGUUCUGCCGUUUCUAGAAUGUCGUGUAGUUGGAAUCAGACUCUAUGCAGACUUUUCAGACUGGCUUCUUUCACUUGGUUGCAUGGAUUUAAGGUUCCUUUGUGUCUUUUCAUGGCUUGAUAGCUUCUUUCUGUUUAGUGCUGAAUGAUGUUCCAUUCGCUGGCUGUGUCUGUGUAUUUAACCAUUCCCCUACCAAAGGAUACCUUGAUUGCCCCGGGUUUCUGCAAUGGUAAAGAAAACUCCUACAAACAUCCAUGGACAAGUUCCUGUGUGGACAUAAGCUUUCCGGUUUUUUGAGUGAAUAUCAAGAAGUAUGAUUGCAAGAUCAUAAGAUAAGAGUAUGUUAACUUCAUAAGAAACAACCAAACUGUCUUUCUUAGUGGCUGCGCCACUUUGAAUUCCCAGCACCGUGAACGAGAGUUCCUGUUGCUCCACAGCCUGACCAGUGCUUGGUGGUGUCAGUGAACCAGAUUUUGGCCAUUCUGACAGGUGUGAGUGGUGUCUCCCUGUCGUGUUAAGCGUCAUGUCUCUGACGACACAGGAUGUGGAAGUCUGUUCCUACGCUCAUUUACCAUCUGUGUCUCUUCUCUGGCGAGAUGUUUGCGUAGCUAUUUGGCCCAUUUUCUCAUCAGGUUCUUUUCUUAUUUUGAGUUUUAAGAGUUCUUUCUCUAGUUUGAAUAUCAGUCCUUUAUCAAACGUGUCUUAUGCAAAUAUUUUCCCCCAGUUUGUGCCUUGUCUUCUCAUUCUCCUUCACAGAGCAGAGCCAUUUAAAAUUCCUACAUCUUGGUAAAAUGCUGCUUAUCAGUUAUUAAUUUUAUGGAUCGUGCCUUUGGUGUUAUAUCUAAAAAUCAUUGCCAUGUCCUAGGAGAAAACAUAGUUUUCUCCCAAGUUAUCUUCUGGGAGUUUUAUGGUUUGUGUGUGUGUGCGUUUGACAUUCAGGCCGACGAGUCAUUUUGAGGUAAAAUAUUCUGUUGUUCUUUUGGCCACUCCUGUAGCUUUUGUGGAAAUUCCUGCACCCGGGGUAGAACCUGCACCACAGCAGGGGCCCAAACUGAUGCAAUGACAACGCCAGAUCCUUGACCUGUGGCCCUGCAGGAGAAGGCCAAUUUUCCAUUAAUUUUUGUCAAAUGUAUAAGGUCUGCAUGGAGAAUUUUUUUUUUUUCUGUGUGGACGUCCAGCCGUUCCAGCACCAUUUGUUGAAAAACUAACUUUGCCCAUUGUAUUGUCUUUGCUCCCACUACCAGUUGGCUCUAUUUGUGUGUGUCUAUUUCAGGAUUCUAUUCUGUUCUAUGAACGUGUUUUCCUGUCUUUUUACGAAUAUCACCCCAUCCCGAUCACUACAGUUCUGUCGGAAGGCUUAAGACCCAGUAGAGUCAGUCAUCCUGCUUUGUUUUUCUCCUUCCAUAUUGUGCUGCUUUUCUGGACUUUUUGACUCUCCAUAUACAUUUUAUUUUAUUAAAAAAAUUUUUUUUGUCUUUUUAGGGCCACACCUGUGGCACAUGGAGGUUCCCAUGCUAGGGGUCCAGUUGGAGCUGAAGCUGCUGGCCUGCACCACAGCCACAGCAACACGGGAUCUGAGCCACAUCUGAGACCGACACCCCAGCUCAUGGCAACGCUGGUCCUUCGCCCACUGAGCGAGGCCAGGGAUCGACCCCACAUCCUCAUGGAUGCUAGCCAGGUUCACUAACCGCUGAGCCAUGAGGGGAACUCCUCCAUGUACGUUUUAGAAUCCAUUUGUGGUAUCCACAAAGAGCUGCCUAGGAUUUUGAGUGGGAUGCCUUAAAUCUACAGAUCAAAUUCGGAAGAGCUGGCCUCUUAACCACUGCCUUCCUCUCCACGAGCUUGGAACCUCUCUCCACUCAAUUAGUUCUUCUUUGAUUUCUUUCAUCAGUUUUGUAGCUUUCCUCACAUAGAUUUUGUUCCCGUUUUGUUAGGUUUAUUAUAAGCAUUUCCUUUUUCGGGGGCUCAUGUACAUGAUACUGUGUUUUAAAUGUCAAUUUCCAGUUAUUCAUUGCUAGUAUAUGAACUAGGAAUGUGACUUUUGUAUUUUAAGCUUAUAUCCUGCAGUCUUGCUAUAAUUGCUUAUUAGUCCCCAGAGUUUUCUGAUUCUUCGGAUUUUCUGUUUAGAUGACGUGCCAUUUGCGCACAAACACAGCCUUAGUCCUUCCUUCCCAACCUGCAUACCUUUUAUUUCCUUUUCUUGCCCAACUGCAUUAGCAAAGACGUUCCAUACAAGGUUGAGAAGGUGGUACAGCUGGUUUUUCCGCUCAGCAGUGGAUAUUUGUUGUUUCUGGGUUUUGCCUGCUCUGAGGAGAGCUGCUUUGUUCAGAUCAUACAGCACAUGUGUGGACAUAUGUGCUCUCUUCUCAUGGGGAAGCGCCCAGGCGUGGGAUGCUGCAUUGCAGGUCAAAGAGAUGCCGGACGGUCCGAGGCACAGCCGAGCUCCUGUCCAAGGCGGGUUUCUGAUGGGCAGCGUGUCGGUGGCUUUUGACGCUCAUCUGAUAGUCUCUGCCUUCCAGUCAGAGUAUUUAGACCAUUUAAGUUUUGCUGACUCUGGACGGAGAGGGUUGAAACCUACCCUCUUCCUAAAGCUUUUUGCUUUUGUCCUGUUUGUCCUUUGUUACUUCCCCCUUUUUUGCCUUCUCUUGGGGCCUCUUCUACAAUUCCAUUUUACUGCACCUGUCAGCUGACCAGUGACCCUUCGGGGGCUUUUCAGUGACGGGGCAGCACCGUGACUCUCACGUUCGCCCCUCGCUCAGACACAGAAGAAUUCAGAGACACGGGUCUCUGCAGGGCUUCCUGCCCACUAGGAGUUUGCAGCAUUUGCCUCAUGUGGGAGAGAGGUCCAGGGACUGCCCAGUUUCUCCUCUGCAGCCCUCGGGGCGGCGGCGUGGUGGGGGGCAUUUCUGUCCCUCUUCUGGGCACCUGGCAGCUGGCACAGGCCCUCCCUGUAGCCAAGCCAGCUCCCCAGCUUGUUUUGCCCUUAGGAAUCCAUCAAACCCUCAGCCACAUUCCUUUUAUCUGAGGUCCGGGCCACCGUGCUUUGGUCAGAAUCAUCUGAGGUUUUGUUUGCUUCAUUUUGUUUGGUGCAAGAGGCAAGGAGCAGAUGGUAUACUGUUAACAGAUGGAGAGGAAACCAGAAAGCCUCCAGUCUCUUCUCUGCUUCCUUUAUGUAAAAACGGAGUUCCUGCAGAAAGGACACGCAGGCUUGCUGGGAGUGAGAUCCCAACAGAGAAGAACGCGACACCUGCUCUCCAAGGGCGUGUGGGCAGUCCGACCCAGAUAACCUGAAAGACCUUGGGAACGCGUGUGAAGUGCUUGGAGGGAACCUCUCUGGAAUCUUGAAGAACGAGACAGACACCAGGACAGAAGAGGUGGCAGACGCGCCAGCUCUUGGGGCGGGGAGGAGGAGACUACGGAUGCGCAAGCUCACUGUCCACAGGUGGGUAGUUUUGGUCUAGAGGUCAACUGCGUCCCGAGAAAUGCUCGGGGAAGAAAGGAACAAGCAUUGGCUCAUUGAAAGGAAAAAGCCAAGGUCGCCUCCUCCUGCGUAUGAAGUCUUAGGAGGUGGGGGAAGCCGCCUGGGUCUGCUUCCAUCGGGGCGGGGGGAGGAAAAAGGCAACAGCACACGUGCGUGAAUUCAGAGCUGGACCCAGGGAAUUUUAAUGCUGUGUCCCUGCAUCUAUUCUGCUCAAAACUGAUUCUCUCUCAUCCCAGUGACGGUGGGAUCACUGUGACUGAGCAGCCUCGUGUCUAAAAUAAUAAAAUAUCCGCCCCAAUGAGGAAGGGUAAGGGCGUGGCGGGGCACAGUCUUUGUCUUCCUUGCGUGUUGCUGGUGCGGCCGGUGGGGAGGCCGUCGAGCCGAGGUCCGCCCGUCGCCGUUGGCCCUCGCGCCCUUCACUUUGUCCCAGAGCCACCGUGUCUGCGGAGAUGCUCGCCGCUGUGGGCGAGGGUGGUGCCAGACGCAGGGAAAGGCCAGGGGACACGCACAACGAGACAUCUGAACUUGGCAAAGUACGAAAGCUCCCCGCUUGCGAACUCUCUGGACCCCAGACUAGAGAACGCGAUGUCCCGAGCUGAGUCUCUGUGCCUAGAAUUGGGGGGCAGGGGGCGCACGGGCCUCGAAGGGCUACCGAGCUCCCGGCAGUCCCGCCUCAGCCUGGGGCGCCCGCAACAGCGCCUCGGUCCCCCUGAGGCCGAGCAGAGGCUUCUUCACGCUCCUCCUGGUGAGUGAUGGGCGCAGAGUUCACGUGAGCCCACGAGCACCUUGAACGCCAGGUAAGCCUUUCCGUUUCCCCAGGUCCUUGGAGGAUCCGUUCAGCACUCCAGGUGAUGGUGCGCCAGAAAGAGCAGCCUGGACGUUCCAAACCCUUCGAAGCAUCGCAGCGCCGUCAAGGCACCAACAGGUAAACCUCAGGCCGGAGAAGCCACAGGGGUUUCCAGCCACAGCGGCCAAGCUGAGCUCAAGCGUUUCAAGCAACCCCUUCAAGAAAGAGCCGACUUGGGGGUCCCCAUGCCGCUCACUCAGAGAACCAGGUAGGGGAUCCGGGUCCCUGCUCUUGGGAAGAAUUUUGAUCAAGUUCAUCAACCCCUGAAAGAGUUGAGAAAUAUUUUACCACAUUGGAAAAACGACUGAGGCCAGCAGAGGCAAAGAGGUGGGCCGGUCGGCUCCCACAGGCCUGUGGUCCGAGCCUGGGCCUCUUCCUGCCCAGGGCAGCACGACAGGAUCCGUUCCCUGUUCCUGCUCCUUCUCUUCAGCCCCUCCCGUCAAUUCCUUCUCCCAGCUGCGUGGGCAUUUGAUACCAGGUCCCCGAAGGGUGAGCCCUUGCUCAGAGACCUCUCCACUGUCCGCACCCCCAGACGAGGGCACGAUUUCAGAACACCUGCUCUCCUUGCCGUCACUUCUCCACGUGACUCCCAGCCCACGAGCCACCUCUGCAAAGGACCGAGGCCAGCAAACCUCUUCCUGAUGUACAGCCAGUGGGACUCAGCUGCGUCCUGGACCGAUUCACUUCUCACAAAAUUAUCCUGACAGCCUCGCUUGCUGACCUCGGGGAACCCAGACUGAACCCGUUGCCUUGCCUUUGGGACCAGGACGGGCGUUGUUUAAAGAUGGGCCCUGUAUGUCGCUCCAGAUCAGAAUGUUUUCCUUUUAUAGCAUUUUAACAGCUUUUCCCAGAAAACAUCAGCCUUACACUGUGUCACGCUGUAUUUAAUUGCACAAUAUGCUCGGCUCUUUAAAAGAAUGUUGGAAAGAUUAAGUUUUAAAAUGAUAAGCCUGGGAAAAUGA
Sus scrofa (pig) is the source of this 9571-nucleotide non-coding RNA. NCBI's taxonomy places the organism in Eukaryota, Metazoa, Chordata, Mammalia, Artiodactyla, Suidae. The record is from RefSeq and is a predicted model, not a curated record.